UGUGCAAAGCUUAUCGUGACUUGUUUUCGCGAAGAUUUGUUAUUAGGGACUUGUCUUUCAAUGAACUUUACAGGGACAUACCAUUUUCAAUAUCGAAGUUGAAACAACUAGAAGCUCCGAAAGGAUUCAUCUGCUGCUGAUUAGUCGAUUGAUUUAUUUGUGCAAUAAAAAGCUCAAUUUUUUGUCAUCUCAAAUGGUGUUCCAGGAUCUUGAAGAAUAAUCAAUUGACAGACCCAAUCCCAUCCACCCUCUCUCAAAUUCCAAAUUUGAAAAUAUUGUAAAGUUCUGAAACCUGCCUUUAAGUUGCAAACUUGUGAUCAUUAUCACGUUGUUUCAAGGGCUAGAUAAGUACAAAUUUGAUUCAAUUCAUUCAUCGUUUAUUCAGAGACCUUGCACAGAAAUAUCUAACAGGGGACAUCCCAAGGCUUAUAUACUGGAAUGAGGUUUUGCAAUAUCUUGGGCUUCGGAGAAACAAUUUGGGCGGGACACUCUCACCUGAUAUGUGCCAGCUGACUGGGUUAUGGUCUUUGUAACUUUAAUGUUAGGAACAACAGUCUGACGGGAAAUAUACCUGAGAGUAUAGGCAACUGUUAAACUGUACUGCCUUCCAAGUAUUGUUGGUGAGGGGAUAAAUGAUGCACCUUCUUUGGCGCUUGCAGACGUUGGAAUCGCUUUGAAAACUGGGAUGCAAGAAAAUGCUGCAUCUGAUACUGCUUCCAUUGUACUUCUUGGGAACAGGCUGUCACAGGUUGUUGAAGCUGUUGAUCUUGCUCGUGCGACUAUGAGCAAAAUACAUCCAAAUUUGUUGUGGGCAGUUGCAUAUAAUGUUGUUACAAUUCCAAUUUCCAGUAGCUGCUGGUGUACUGCUUCCUCAUUUUGAUUUUGCUAUGACGCCUUCUUUAUCAGGUCGUCUAUCGGGACAAAAAUCUUCCCCGAUGUCUUGGCUUAUGAUAUUUCAGAAAUUCUCAAGCUUGCUGCUGCUGUAGAGAAAACAACAUCACAUCCUCUUGCAAGUUGCAAAUGCUAUCUUAAGUAAAGCAGAGUCAUGUGGUUUGCAGAUUCCAACCACAAGUCGACAAUUAACAGAGCCAGGUUUUGGAACCUUAGCUGAAGUAGAUCGACGUUAGUAGGUUCUUUGGAAUGGGUUUGUCAACGUUUUGAAAGGAAGAACCAAUCAGAUAUAGAACAUUUGGAGCGUGCCUUGGUGCUUGAGUCAGCCAAACCAACUUCAUCAUUGGAUAAAUCGGAAACGGUGGUUUAUGUUGGACGUGAAGGAGAGGGUGUCAUUGGUGCUAUUGCAAUCUCUGAUGCCUUAAGGCAUGAUGCUGAAGCUACUGUAGCACGGUGACAGGGAAGAAGCAGUUACAAAAGUCGCGAAAAUCAUUGGAAUAAAUGAUGAACAUGUACCAUCCCUGAAUCCGCAGCGGAAAUCUCAAUUUAUAUCAGAUAUACAAGCUUCAGGACAUCGUAUUGCUAUGGUUGGUGAGGGGAUAAAUGACGCACCUUCUUUGGCGCUUGCAGACGUCGGAAUCGCUUUGAAAACUGGGAUGCAAGAAAAUGCUGCAUCUGAUACUGCUUCCAUUGUACUUCUUGGGAACAGGCUGUCACAGAUGUUAUUUGCUUCAAUAUCUUUUAACAUAAGCUGUCAUUAUCAGACAACCAUUUAAGGAAAAUGUAGCAAGUAAAAAAAAGCGAAGGUAGUAUGUCCUAAAAUACCUGUCUGGCUGUCUGCUCUGGCAAAAGCUAACUGAGUGACUUUUUCUGUAUCGGUUGUAUCAGGUGGGCUAAUGGCUUUGAGUUUAAUAUUUGUCGUCUCCAAUUCUCUUCUACUGCAGCUCCAUGGUUCCAACAAAGAGAAGGAAGAGAUCACCUCAGGAACACUGAAACAAGCCUGAAAUUAUAGGGUCAUUGUUCAGACAUGUUACCAACAUUGGAAAAGAGAUUAGGGUUCAAAGAUUCUUGUAAAUCUGUGUUAAUACUCACAGAUUUUAUUCUAAAAUGUAUCAUAUUUCUUUGGCCCUUAGAAAGAGCCUGUAUUCAAUGUAGAGAUCUGUGUAAAAUUGUACCAGAAAUCAUUUUAUCGCUAGAACACUUUCCUUCCCCUGAAAUUUGGUAAUUUUACUAUCUCAGUCACCGAUUUUACUC
Long non-coding RNA from Beta vulgaris subsp. vulgaris (sugar beet), 2145 nucleotides. RefSeq lists it as uncharacterized. NCBI's taxonomy places the organism in Eukaryota, Viridiplantae, Streptophyta, Magnoliopsida, Caryophyllales, Amaranthaceae. The transcript is spliced from 10 exons. The record is from RefSeq and is a predicted model, not a curated record.